Long non-coding RNA from Triticum aestivum (bread wheat), 2456 nucleotides. RefSeq lists it as uncharacterized. Lineage: Eukaryota; Viridiplantae; Streptophyta; Magnoliopsida; Poales; Poaceae. The record is from RefSeq and is a predicted model, not a curated record. The transcript has 7 exons.
UUACCAGCUAACCUUGUGUGAUGAGGGGUGGUAAUAGUCUUGCUCUGUAGUAGUGUGAAGAUCUGGAGGACGCAGGCCAUGGCCUCCAGUCUGCUGGUCCAAGAUCUGUCUCCUUUUUUUCAUGUGUCUGCCUUUUUUUAUUUUGAAAGCCAUGUGUGUUUUAAUCUGAAAGUUGUGAGAAUUUUUCUGUAAUUUGCAAGGAAUUUUUUGGAAGUUGUGAGAAUUUUCUAAAAGGUUUGCAAAGAUUUCUGAAUGUUGUGUCCAAAUUGAUGGAAGUUGUGAGAAUUUUCUGAAUGUUUCAUCAUACACAUUACAGUCAAUUAUCCAUUUCGUUCAGCAUGGUGGCCAAGAUGCGGCAGCCCCAUGCUCUGUUCCGAUGGGCCUCCUCUGCUCGAUGGUUGACGCUGGUUGAGUUUGGUACGGUUUCCUGUUGUUGCUUGUGUCGAGCCAUGGGUCCGUCUCUCCUUCGCACUGAGCGUAAUUCUCCUGUCGCUGGCGCUUCUUCUUCUCGUCCGUCCUGCUGCUUACCAAAGUGCUUCUGCUUGCUGCCUCAGGUUGUACGAUCUCUUCUGUCACUGUCAUUCGACUCAUUAAGGUUUCUUCUUUUCUUUCUACUACAUGUGUGCGUGUUUUACUUUCAGUAUCUUCUAUGUCAUGCUGUCUGCCUUGGUGAUCUUUUAAAUAUCUGUAUUUUGUGCUGAUCGUUUAAAUGUUCCGGAUAUGGUUGGGCGUUGUGUGUUGUUCGUUCUCGGUGCUACUUAUAUUUCGUGUAUGCGUGUGAACAGGGUGUGUAUGCUUGUUUCCGUUGUUAUACCUGUUUUGGAGGCUGUGGGUAGCUCGAUGCGCUUUGCCGUCCCUUUCAUAUCUGUGUGUAGUCGGAGGAUGGCUCUGUUCUUGCUGGUGUAGAACUCGAGCUCCCAUGGGACAGAUCUGGUCCUAUGGAGAAGCUUGAUGAACAAGCCGAGGCAAGCUCUGGUGGUAAAGCUGAAACUUCAUCACCUACUGUUGAAGAAAAGGAUGAUGACAAUGACCAGGCUCAAGUGACCAGAAACAAAAGAAUGAAGUGGCAAGCAUAGAAGAAAUGCAGAGCCAGUUUCCCUCGGAUACAGUGUAUUACACUGAGUCUGAGGAUACACAACAGUCUAUUGAGGCUACUCUACCAUCGGUGAAAAUCCCCAACAGAAUGAUGUUGGAUGUCCUUUUAGAAUCUUUGGGCCUGCCAUUGGCAGCACAAGAGGAUUGAAAGGUUUUUAUAUGAAUGUUAAAUCUGCUUUCCUCAAUAAUGGUCCAAUAAAACAAGUGUACGGGGAACAACUUCUUGGCUACUAGAAAAAAAGGCAAAGAGAAAAUUUGCAAGCUCAACGAGGCACUAUAUAUAAGGGCUAGCGACCAAGAGCUUCGAACAAAGUUAGACCAAAGUUAGACCUGUCUCAGUUUCAAGAGAUAUUCCUUUGAGAAGAAAAUCCAAAAGUUCAACCUGCUAGUUGAAGUGUAUGUCGACGAUCUGGUUAUAGCUGAAAAUAGCAUGUUUGUCUAUCCCUAGCCGCAUAGUCGGUAACGCUUUGAGCAUGGUAAGUCGGUUAUGUACUGACUACUGUCAAAGAAAAUAUAUCCAAGAAGGUGCAAAUUGCAUGCAUCAUCAAAAAAUUCUCCGCUCAGUUUCUUUUUUUAUUGGUGGGGAUCCGUUCGGUUUUCUGAUCGCAGUUACGACAAGUUCUGUCCAGGGCAAACCACCGAGAUAAUUUGAUCCGAUUGUUGUUGUGCAGUGGAAGACGCAGUUAGACGUGCAUGUGCUAGACAGCACAUCAAUCAAGCUACCUGCUUGUGUGCUUCCUAGCUUUGCAUAUAUGUGCGUUGUGCUUGGCAGCACAUCAAUUAAGCUGCGUGCUUGUGUACUUCCAAUCUGAGUUUGCAUAUACUGCCUUGCGCUUGGCUAAGGGUCUAACAAACAAUAUAUGCACAGGUAUAAAAACAUUUUGGCACAGAAUCAAGGUGUGGCGACUGCCACACCUUGCCCACUGGAGUCCUCCGCCAGUGCUCCCCACCCACCCAUCAUAGUCGGGCAAGCCUACAUGACGAUAGGGGACGGCGGGGCUAACCAUCACACCCGCUAUGGCUUGAAGGGGUACUCAUCGCGCCUCGGACGGCGGUGUCGGUCCUUCGCGGUUCUCCCAAUUCAUUGACGACGGGUGUCCCUUUGUGCGUGCUUUCCUUGAUGCAGAUGAAUCUGGGUGGUGGUCGUCGUCGACUUGUGCCAGACUUGGGCAGGGGCCCUCCUUCACCCGAUAUUGUGAAAGAGUCAUCCUCGACGGCUCUUGUGACUAGCUUUGGCCGGCAUGGGCCGGGGUUGUGGCCUUGUGCCCUCGCGUGCACCCAUAGCUGUCCCAAAUCGCCAAAUCUGACGAUAUUGGUUGGGGGGAGGGGGACACCGGUCCCGUCUGGAUCUCACUGGUGUG